Molecule: non-coding RNA, 21 nt
Filed under: Caenorhabditis elegans
Lineage: Eukaryota; Metazoa; Nematoda; Chromadorea; Rhabditida; Rhabditidae
Source: RNAcentral
UUGCAACGGAAUUUUAAAUGU